Non-coding RNA from Cinara cedri, 425 nucleotides. The record is from the annotation of a GenBank genome assembly. Lineage: Eukaryota; Metazoa; Arthropoda; Insecta; Hemiptera; Aphididae.
CAUUAAUCUCAUCCGAAACUUUCAACAUUAUUCACCAUAAAAUAAUGGAAGAAUGGCAGAAAUAUUGGCUAAAUCUACCUCUAACAAACUGAGAAAUGUAAAGUUAUACAUAAAAAAAUUAAAAUACCCAUCCAACACCAAAAGAAGAGAAGAAGUAAUCAUUACUCGAGUUAAAAUAGAUCAUUCACAUUUAACCCACGCUCACCUCAUCAGAAAAGAACCAGCACCAGUAUUCGAUAUAUGCAAUGGAACAUCAACAAUAGAACACAUAGUUAUCAAAUGCACCAAAUAUAUCGAAGCCCGCAAAAUCUUCAAUAACCCCCUACACUUCACCAAGCACUCAAUGAAGAAAACACGGUCACCACAAACACAUUUUUCAACAAUACAGACUUAAGUCACAAAUUAUAAUCCUCUAAAACAUGCCG